GGAAGGAGCAGGCAUUCGUCCAAGUUCAGCGGUGUUCGGGAGUUUCAGUGUCCAAUUUUUGUUCCACGCGAUCGACGCCCAAACAUUGCUGCCUGCAUUCUCGCGAACAAGAUGGCCACCACACAGUUCCCAUGCGUUCGUUCAUAUGAACAGCGGCCACCCAGCCGCACAAUUAGAACCCACACUGGUUGAAGUGUCAGGAGAGGUUAACAAGGGUCAAUAAGCUCAGAGGUGGUCCGCAGUUCGUGGGUUGGUUCAGUUCCCGAACAGUCCAAG
Non-coding RNA from Pelobates cultripes (western spadefoot toad), 276 nucleotides. The record is from the annotation of a GenBank genome assembly. NCBI's taxonomy places the organism in Eukaryota, Metazoa, Chordata, Amphibia, Anura, Pelobatidae.